This 762-nucleotide long non-coding RNA is filed under the name Homo sapiens (human). Its description in RNAcentral is "HSALNT0164317". The record is from RNAcentral. Lineage: Eukaryota; Metazoa; Chordata; Mammalia; Primates; Hominidae.
GAGUCCCUGCUGGAGUCAGAAGUUUUAGGCGAAUCCCAGGCGCGCCAAGGAAAGUGCUACAAAAGCCAUCCAUCUUGCAAGCGUUGGUGCCGAGGCGCAACGCUGAGAACGCAAAUACUAAAGGGCGCUGUUCUUUCCUCGUGGAGCUCACAGUCCGCUGGGGAGACCGUGAGAUGACAGCAGAGAAACUAGCGCGAUCAGUAGUACUCAGCGCAAGGACAGCGAGCAGAGAAGGCAAACCUAGUGCUUGCUAAGGAAGACUUCACAGAGGAGGUAGUGUCAGGGCCGAGACUAGGAGAAGGAUUCUCCAGGCUUCAUACGGUAAAACUCUCUGGGAAGGAAAGGAACUCAGAGUCCCAUGCAGAAAAUUGUUCAGCUGGAGGGGUAUCAGAAAGAUGGAUUUCCAAAGCCAACUGUUUCCUGUAGUGUGUGGAUCUCUGCAAGCAGAGCCUCAUCUUUCAAUUUCAGCUACAUGAAAGAGGAAGAAAGGGAAAGAUAUAUGUCAUACGUGAUAUACUUUAUGUGGCUUUGAAGACCCCUCUUUUGUGGGGCUACGGCUAAAGAACAUAGUUCCCUGGGAUGGAAUUGGCUCUUCCUAUUUCCCUACUUCAUGAAAACUCCAGUAGAAGACCUUAGAACCUUGUCCUGGUUACAUGGAUAUGUUUACUUUGUGAAAAUUCAUCAAGCACUAUGCACGGUCAUGAUUUGUACAUUUUUUUGUAAGAUAACUUCAUUAAAAUUUACUUUUUUUAUUUUUAAAAA